AAAGUUGGUCUAUACAAGACA
This 21-nucleotide transfer RNA is filed under the name Megaceryle alcyon (belted kingfisher). RNAcentral describes it as "partial tRNA-Arg". Lineage: Eukaryota; Metazoa; Chordata; Aves; Coraciiformes; Cerylidae. The record is from RNAcentral.